CAUAAAUACUUUUCAGUAUGAAUAAUAUUACUCGUGACUUAAGGACUUAUGAUUUUGUAUUAGAUAGCGAGUCUCUCAGUAUGUUCUAACUACUGUUUAUAUUAUAUUUUGUUAUAUGACUUUUGUUUAUUUUUAAUGCACUUCUUUUAAGUAACUUAUUUAAGAUUUCAUUAUGCGCUAAUAUUCUAAGAGAAGUCUUAAAAGAGAAAAAGAAACUUUGAUCUCAGAUUUGAACUAACACAAUGGAAGCAAGGGUCCAGAAUCUGACAAAAUAGUCAUGAAUAAUUUCUCAUGGAGGGGACACACUGCUGAUGAGAGAAAAUUGAUAAUGGUCUUCUAAAAUCUCAUCGAGAAACCUAGAAACCGGAAGAGAUUCACUAUGGUUGAAAACAAUACAAAACUACUUGAUGGAAUAAAGGUGAAGUUGGUUAUGAAGCAAGAUAUAACCAAGAUGGCAGCUGCCUGCACACAACUCAGAAGCUUGUUCAACCUAUGUGUCAGGUGUCUCAUGAUGCAGUGCAAAGUUAGACUGCACCAUCUUGUGAGAUUUCCCACUGAAGAACACUAGAUCAUGUCUCAAGAUAACUAAGAGUAUAGAAUAUAGAGAAGAAUACAUAGUCAUUACAGGAAGACUAACCAAUUACAACAGAGACAUUAUGCAAUUGAAAUUCUGAUUUAAAAAAAACUAUAUAAAUGACACUGUUCCUUGUAAUGAUCUCAUUUUCUACUUAGAUGCAAAGGAAAGAAGAGUUAAGAAAAGAAGGCCUUUCAUAACAUAUUGUUCCACAGGGGCUCUGAGCCCCACCAGGACAAAGUUUUCACAGUUGCUAGAGUUAACAAGACACGAAACCUACUAGGAAAAGACCUGACUUCUAUUUGCCAUGAUGGAAAACUCCCCACAGUAAUUCUGGAAUGUUUUAUGUUACUAUCUGCCUUAUGGACAAGAUCCUGCUUCUUAAAUGAACCCUAAUCUCUUCAAUUCCAUCAGCAUGAAGAGAAACAAUUGUGCAUCAAAUCAUUGGCUAUACAAUAAGGAUAUGCUGUCUCUCAACAAAGAAAAUGGAACCAAAACUGAGGGUAUAUUGGCAAUAUCACUAAACAUAGCAUCAUGUCAAACAAUAAAGAAGUUGGAUUGUGAAAAAGAUGUAAACAUAAAAACAAUCCAUCUGUGCAUAUGGUAG
This 1181-nucleotide long non-coding RNA is filed under the name Rattus norvegicus (Norway rat). RNAcentral describes it as "long non-coding RNA NONRATT032711". Lineage: Eukaryota; Metazoa; Chordata; Mammalia; Rodentia; Muridae. The record is from RNAcentral.